UUUGCUUCAACAUAAGUAGAAAGAUAGAGACAAGUAGCCGGAGUAAUUAAAGUCAAAGAUAUAGGUAACCCUCUGUAAUAAGCCUUUAAAGGCAUUGUCUUAAAAGAGAAUUUUCCAAUUGUUUGCUUAUGAACAGUGAUUGUAUCAAUUGGGUGACACAGAAGCCGACUUGCAACAGCACCUGCACUUUUUAUCAAUGUUAGUAUGUUUUGGCAGGAACUCUAAUUUAAAUGUACCUAGCAGCCAUGAGAGUUUGUACAUCCAUUUUCUUCCCUAUAUGGCAACAUUCAAAACUUGGACUUUCCUAGAAAACAAAAGAUGGGGAUAUCAGUGAAAUUAAGUGGUUGCGUUACUGCAAGUCAUGAAGCCUAUAAGCGAUCCAUCAAGUUUAGAGGUCGCAGUGCAGUUGGAUAAUACGUUUUAUAUCAAUAAAUGAGAUCAAUAUUUUUAAUUCUUUAAAAAUAAGUAAGUAAGCUUUUAUGGAUUGUGAUAUUUAUACUACUGAAUACCCAUCGACAUAUGCUAAACUGAAUAAAUCACGAUGAAACGCAAGGAAUAAACGUUGUAUAUAGCAAUAAAUUUAUUGGUGUGCUGUAGAAUUUCAAAUGCUUGUAUCAAUCAGUUUACAUUCAAAAGCUAGCACGCAUUCUGCGAAAUGUUGUCAUUUCUAUAGACGAAAGAAACCCGUUUCUCUCCUAAUCACCUCCAUUAACAUCAAUUAUUGAGUUAUGACUUAUUUUUUCGUUGUAACCUAACAUUGCUUACCUUCUAUAUUUCACACAAUUUCUGAUUGUAAUGUCUCGAGUUGAAAGUUGAAUAUUGUUAUUAGUACUUUGUACCGAUCAAUGAAAUUCAGCCUA
Schizosaccharomyces pombe (fission yeast) is the source of this 860-nucleotide non-coding RNA. The record is from the annotation of a GenBank genome assembly. NCBI's taxonomy places the organism in Eukaryota, Fungi, Ascomycota, Schizosaccharomycetes, Schizosaccharomycetales, Schizosaccharomycetaceae.